GAACCGUCCAAACGUUAUUCGGAAUCACUGGGCUUAAAGGGUACGUAGGCGGCUUGGAAAGUUGGGGUGUGAAAUCCCUCGGCUCAACCGAGGAACUGCACUCAAAACUGCCCAGGCUUGAGGGAGAUAGAGGUGAGCGGAACUCAGGGUGGAGCGGUGGAAUGCGUUGAUAUCCUGGGGAACACCAGUUGCGAAGGCGGCUCACUGGGUCUCUUCUGACGCUGAGGUACGAAAGCUAGGGGAGCGAACGGGAUUAGAUACCCCGGUAGUCCUAGCUGUAAACGUUGAGCACUGGAUCGGAGGAUUUCGGUUUUCCGGUCGUAACGAAAGUGUUAAGUGCUCCGCCUGGGGAGUAUGGUCGCAAAGGCUG
This 370-nucleotide ribosomal RNA is filed under the name uncultured organism. Its description in RNAcentral is "partial 16S ribosomal RNA". It matches the Rfam family "Bacterial small subunit ribosomal RNA", at positions 527 to 896 of the family's 1533-position model. The record is from RNAcentral.